This 637-nucleotide ribosomal RNA is filed under the name uncultured bacterium. RNAcentral describes it as "bacterial SSU rRNA". It matches the Rfam family "Bacterial small subunit ribosomal RNA", at positions 607 to 1244 of the family's 1533-position model. The record is from RNAcentral.
GCUCAACCGAGGAAGUGCUUCGAAAACUGGUAAACUUGAGUGCAGAAGAGGAAAGUGGAACUCCAUGUGUAGCGGUGGAAUGCGUAGAUAUAUGGAGGAACACCAGUGGCGAAGGCGGCUUUCUGGUCUGUAACUGACGCUGAGAUUCGAAAGCAUGGGUAGCAAACAGGAUUAGAUACCCUGGUAGUCCAUGCCGUAAACGAUGAGUGCUAAGUGUUGGAGGGUUUCCGCCCUUCAGUGCUGCAGCUAACGCAUUAAGCACUCCGCCUGGGGAGUACGAUCGCAAGAUUGAAACUCAAAGGAAUUGACGGGGGCCCGCACAAGCGGUGGAGCAUGUGGUUUAAUUCGAAGCAACGCGAAGAACCUUACCAGGUCUUGACAUACCAUGAAAAGCUUAGAGAUAAGUCUUUCCCUUCGGGGACAUGGAUACAGGUGGUGCAUGGUUGUCGUCAGCUCGUGUCGUGAGAUGUUGGGUUAAGUCCCGCAACGAGCGCAACCCUUAUUAUCAGUUGCCAGCAUUCAGUUGGGCACUCUGGUGAGACUGCCGGUGAUAGACCGGAGGAAGGUGGGGACGACGUCAAAUCAUCAUGCCCCUUAUGACCUGGGCUACACACGUGCUACAAUGGUCGGUACAACG